UCGCAUGGAGAAGUCUGACGGAGCACGCCGCGUGAGUGAAGAAGGUUCUUGGAUCGUAAAGCUCUGUCUUCAGGGACGAAUGUUAUCUUUGUGAAUAAUGGAGGUAAAUGACGGUACCUGAGGAGGAAGCCACGGCUAACUACGUGCCAGCAGCCGCGGUAAU
RNAcentral lists this ribosomal RNA (163 nucleotides) under uncultured bacterium. RNAcentral's name for it is "partial 16S ribosomal RNA". It matches the Rfam family "Bacterial small subunit ribosomal RNA", at positions 366 to 524 of the family's 1533-position model. The record is from RNAcentral.